Molecule: ribosomal RNA, 253 nt
Filed under: uncultured bacterium
Lineage: Bacteria
Description: partial 16S ribosomal RNA
Rfam family: Bacterial small subunit ribosomal RNA
Source: RNAcentral
UACGGAGGGGGCUAGCGUUGUUCGGAAUUACUGGGCGUAAAGCGCACGUAGGCGGCUUUCUAAGUCAGGGGUGAAAUCCUGGAGCUCAACUCCAGAACUGCCUUUGAUACUGGAGAGCUUGAGUCCGGGAGAGGUGAGUGGAACUCCGAGUGUAGAGGUGAAAUUCGUAGAUAUUCGGAAGAACACCAGUGGCGAAGGCGGCUCACUGGCCCGGUACUGACGCUGAUGUGCGAAAGCGUGGGGAGCAAACAGG